RNAcentral lists this long non-coding RNA (845 nucleotides) under Numida meleagris (helmeted guineafowl). RNAcentral describes it as "lncRNA (ENSNMEG00000012225.1)". The record is from RNAcentral. Lineage: Eukaryota; Metazoa; Chordata; Aves; Galliformes; Numididae.
AAUGUUUAUUGGGUGAUGGAUGGCACCUGUGCUCCUCAGGCAUUUGUGGUGCUGCAGAUGGGAGGUCCAUGUCUGCGUGGGAGCUCACCCUCAUCACAGCAAGAGCAACUCUCAAGGGCUUUCAGCUCGGCCACGUGAAUCCUCCUGCCUUGAGUGCUCAGGCAAAUUGAGGAGCCCUGGCACUUUCUCCCUGCCCUCACUGCCUCGUGGGCAGGCAGCAUGUGAUACCAUGGGGGAGAUGGAUGAGAAGACACAGCCAAGCCCAACAGCUGGAGCUUGGUCCCUCUCCUCUGCCAGAACUGUAGCAGGUUGGGAACUGUACCUGGAUGCUCGGGAUGGCCAAAUGGAUGCAGGGGAGCAUCUCCUCCCUGUGGGAUGCUGGCAGAGCUACCCACCAGUGUUAGCUCAGUUGUUUCUCUCCAAUUCAUAAAGAUAUUAUCUUUGGCCUAAGUGUAACCACUUCAUGAUGUGUGGUGGUGAUGGGGAAAUGCAAGCAGGUGCCCAUUUUGCUGUAGGUUUCAUUGCACUUGUUGGAGUUCUGGCCAAAACCUAGUAUGGCCUCACCUUUGGGUUUCAGACACUGAGCAGAUCCAGUGCCACAUUCUCAGUGUAGUUAUUUUUUGGAAACCAACACUCUGUCUACUGAGUAGUAGGGUGGCAUUAUUAGGACACCUAGGAGUUAAACCACUCUGGCCUUGAGCAGGAAUAUGUCUUCACUGGCGAGGUUUGCUGCAGCAUGCUGCCUAGUCAUUAGCUAAUUAAUGCCAAUUCCAUUGGAAAUACAGCCGAGCCAUCACGGUCUGCUUUUCCAAAAGAUCCUGUGUGUACUUUGUCAACUACGUUCC